RNAcentral lists this ribosomal RNA (571 nucleotides) under uncultured bacterium. RNAcentral describes it as "partial 16S ribosomal RNA". It matches the Rfam family "Bacterial small subunit ribosomal RNA", at positions 355 to 919 of the family's 1533-position model. The record is from RNAcentral.
UGGGGAAUUUUGGACAAUGGGCGAAAGCCUGAUCCAGCAAUGCCGCGUGUGUGAAGAAGGCCUUCGGGUUGUAAAGCACUUUUGUCCGGAAAGAAAUCCUUGGCUCUAAUACAGUCGGGGGAUGACGGUACCGGAAGAAUAAGCACCGGCUAACUACGUGCCAGCAGCCGCGGUAAUACGUAGGGUGCAAGCGUUAAUCGGAAUUACUGGGCGUAAAGCGUGCGCAGGCGGUUUGCUAAGACCGAUGUGAAAUCCCCGGGCUCAACCUGGGAACUGCAUUGGUGACUGGCAGGCUAGAGUAUGGCAGAGGGGGGUAGAAUUCCACGUGUAGCAGUGAAAUGCGUAGAGAUGUGGAGGAAUACCGAUGGCGAAGGCAGCCCCCUGGGCCAGUACUGACGCUCAUGCACGAAAGCGUGGGGAGCAAACAGGAUUAGAUACCCUGGUAGUCCACGCCCUAAACGAUGUCAACUAGUUGUUGGGGAUUCAUUUCCUUAGUAACGUAGCUAACGCGUGAAGUUGACCGCCUGGGGAGUACGGUCGCAAGAUUAAAACUUAAAUGAAUUGACGGGGU